AGAGACAGCAGUCGCGCGGGAAUACGGAGGGUGCAAGCGUUAAUCGGAAUUACUGGGCGUAAAGCGCACGCAGGCGGUCUGACAAGUCAGAUGUGAAAUCCCCGGGCUUAACCUGGGAACUGCAUUUGAAACUGUCAGGCUGGAGUCUUGUAGAGGGGGGUGGAAUUCCAGGUGUAGCGGUGAAAUGCGUAGAGAUCUGGAGGAAUACCGGUGGCGAAGGCGGCCCCCUGGACAAAGACUGACGCUCAGGUGCGAAAGCGUGGGGAGCAAACAGGAUUAGAUACCCCAGUAGUCCCUGUCUCUUAUACA
Molecule: ribosomal RNA, 309 nt
Filed under: uncultured bacterium
Lineage: Bacteria
Description: partial 16S ribosomal RNA
Rfam family: Bacterial small subunit ribosomal RNA
Source: RNAcentral